This 76-nucleotide transfer RNA is filed under the name Rickettsiales bacterium. RNAcentral's name for it is "tRNA-Thr". It matches the Rfam family "tRNA". Rfam says of the family: Transfer RNA (tRNA) molecules are approximately 80 nucleotides in length. The record is from RNAcentral. Lineage: Bacteria; Pseudomonadati; Pseudomonadota; Alphaproteobacteria; Rickettsiales. RNAcentral also lists the same sequence under 2 other names.
GCCGGAUUAGCUCAGCUGGUAGAGCAUCUGAUUUGUAAUCAGAGGGUCGUUGGUUCAAGUCCGACAUCCGGCACCA